AACUAGCCCCGAUGGAAACGGCAUCCUUUUUUGUUUUCUUGAUUCUCGCUUCAAUCAAAUGGCAAACGUUGUGAAAACAAAAAAGAUAUAGUGGACAGCGGGAUUAAGC
RNAcentral lists this small RNA (109 nucleotides) under Epilithonimonas hungarica. RNAcentral's name for it is "Chryseobacterium hungaricum Flavo-1 RNA". It matches the Rfam family "Flavo-1 RNA". Lineage: Bacteria; Pseudomonadati; Bacteroidota; Flavobacteriia; Flavobacteriales; Weeksellaceae. The record is from RNAcentral.